UUACCGUGACACCUGUUAUAACCUUUUUAUCUAUGGGAAACAACUGGCUAGAACUUCCUCCAUCCCCAUUCUUCCUUUUUCAGCAUCUAUUCCUUCUUCUCUGUUUAUCCUUUUCUGAUUUCUGUUAUUCCAUCCAAUAAAUCUCGAAUUCAUCAGUUUUUUUUUCAUGGUAUUUAUCUUUCAAAGUAUGAGUUCGCUAAUCUGCAAUGUUUCUUUGGUACUGCACCUUCUUCAGUUCUUUGUUGAUAAUCGGUAUAGGCCUCUUCAACUAGGAUGUUCUGCCCUAUCAUUUCUUCAAACCAGUUCAUGAGUCCUUCAAACCCUAAUAAUUUUUUAAAACGGAUAACAUGGUGAUCAUGGACGCACUGAAUUUCUGCCAAGAAAAGUUUAACAGGCAUCCUAUCUUGCAAUUUAUAUUGGUGAUGGAAUGACGAGGUAUACCUUAAGAACGGUGGGAAGAUGGUUUAGGGGCCGGGGGCGAGGACGAGGACGGUGCUAGGGCUGGGUAUGGGAGUGGUUCGAGGAUUACUUUAGAAAUCCUUUCUUUUAAACUUCAGUUUAUUUUUAUUUUUGACAACAGAUAUUUCAUGUUAUUUGGGGAUGAAAGCUGAUGUUUGUAAACUUUAUUUUAUAAAAAAAUUGAACUGUUCUUUUGAAUUGGACGGAUCAUUUGAUUGAUGCUGCUGUUGUGAAUGUAAUUUUUAUCAAAUAUUUGCUUGUGUGGUUGGGAUGUUGGUUUAAUAAUUUGACUUUUGGUUAGUAAUCUUACUGUGAGAGAAAUAGAGGCUAAUUAGCCUCUUUGAAGUUC
Molecule: non-coding RNA, 808 nt
Organism: Nicotiana tabacum (common tobacco)
Lineage: Eukaryota; Viridiplantae; Streptophyta; Magnoliopsida; Solanales; Solanaceae
Source: RefSeq, a predicted model, not a curated record